AGAGUUUGAUCAUGGCUCAGAUUGAACGCUGGCGGUAGGCUUAACACAUGCAAGUCGUGCGAGAAAGUAUCUUCGGAUAUGAGUAGAGCGGCGGACGGGUGAGUAACGCGUAGGAAUCUACCUAGUAGAAGGGGAUAGCCCGGGGAAACUCGGAUUAAUACCGUAUACCUCCUUCGGGAGAAAGAAGGCCUCUCUUUGAAGCUUUCGCUAUUAGAUGAGCCUGCGUAAGAUUAGCUUGUUGGUGAGGUAAAGGCUCACCAAGGCUACGAUCUUUAGCUGGUCUGAGAGGACGAUCAGCCACAUUGGGACUGAGACACGGCCCAGACUCCUACGGGAGGCAGCAGUGGGGAAUAUUGGACAAUGGGCGCAAGCCUGAUCCAGCCAUACCGCGUGUGUGAAGAAGGCCUUCGGGUUGUAAAGCACUUUAAGCAGGGAGAAAAAGUUAUAGGUUAAUACCCUAUGACCUUGAUGUUACCUGCAGAAUAAGCACCGGCUAAUUCCGUGCCAGCAGCCGCGGUAAUACGGAAGGUGCAAGCGUUAAUCGGAAUUACUGGGCGUAAAGCGCGCGUAGGUGGUUUGUUAAGUUGGAUGUGAAAGCCCUGGGCUCAACCUAGGAACUGCAUCCAAAACUAACUCACUAGAGUACGAUAGAGGGAGGUAGAAUUCAUAGUGUAGCGGUGGAUUGCGUAGAUAUUA
RNAcentral lists this ribosomal RNA (696 nucleotides) under uncultured bacterium. RNAcentral describes it as "bacterial SSU rRNA". It matches the Rfam family "Bacterial small subunit ribosomal RNA", at positions 8 to 699 of the family's 1533-position model. The record is from RNAcentral.